Panicum hallii is the source of this 1664-nucleotide RNA transcript. RefSeq lists it as uncharacterized. The transcript has 4 exons. NCBI's taxonomy places the organism in Eukaryota, Viridiplantae, Streptophyta, Magnoliopsida, Poales, Poaceae. The record is from RefSeq and is a predicted model, not a curated record.
UUUCCGUUUUCCUUUUUUCCUCCCCACGCCUACCCCUGUUCUUCCUUUACUAGCGGCGACGAUGGGGCGGCGCCGCCCUUGGCCAGUUCUUCGUCGGGCUCUUCGCCGGCGUCGAGCAUCCGGCAGCUAUGCUCGCCCAUUCCCUUCCCUUCCUUCCGUGCGAAUUCGAACACCCAAAACCUUAAUGUUCCAUUCUCUCCUUAUUAAGGGCCUGCUUGCAGUUGCUGUGCUAUGCUACGGAGUAGUCAUUAAUUCCAGCAGGAUUUUGCCUUGUUCCAAAGACAUGACAAGCAGUCCGAGAAACCGUAAGCUGGCAGCUCAGCAUCUUAGGUCAGCCUCCCAUGCUGUACCUUAUGACUACAAGAAAACAAAAAAGUUAGACAAGAAAAAUGAAUUGCAAUCAACCUCAGAGGAAAAUGACUGGAAAAAUGCUACCUGCUCAAUAUGCUUGGAGCGUCCACAUGAUGCUGUCCUUAUCCUUUGUUCUUCUCAUAGCAAAGGUUGCCGGCCAUACAUGUGUGGUACCAAUUAUAAACAUUCCAACUGCCUAGAGCUGUUCAAAAAUGCUUAUUCGAGGGAGAAACCAGCAUGCAAAGUCUCAACCGUGGUGGCACCAACUAACCAGAAGCCAAAGACACAGCUGCUUGCAUGCCCCAUCUGCCGCGGGGAAGUUAAAGGGUGGACAGUAGUCAAACCUGCGAGGCGGUUUCUGAACCGCAAAAGGAGAGCUUGUAUGCAUGAGGAUUGCUCAUUUGUCGGGACAUAUAAGGGACUCAAAAGGCAUGUGAGGUCGAAGCAUCGUUUAUCAAAACCACGUGAUGUUGACCCUGUGCGUUUGGCUAAGUGGAAGAAGUUUGAAAAUGAAAAGGAGAGGCAAGAUGCAAUCAGCAUUGUCAGUGCCUUAAAUCCAGGAUCGAUGAUCAUGGGGGACUACAUCAUUGAUCCAGAUAGCGACAGCGAUUCUUACAUCGAUGACCCUUAUUUCGAUGAUGUCUCUGACCGUGACACAUCCUUAGAUGGCGACGAAGGAUCUUAUCAUAGAGGUUUUGUGCACAGAUAUGGAUCUCAUAGGAGAAAUGGGGAAAGGGCAAGUUGAAAUCUCCCUCGUGUUAGGGUUUCUGGCAUUCGCCGUGGUGUUUCAACCAGCUAUGGAAGGUCAUUUCGAGUUGAUUUUGUCAUAAGAUCUGUGAGUCAGCCAAGCGACAGUUAAUAUCAGGGCAUGGCAGUUGAAAGAUGGGAUCAAUCUGGGUUUUAUGAUAUUGUUGCGAGGAGGCAGAUACUAGUGAUACUAUUAUGCAGCUGAUAAUGGUGAUAUGGAGUUGUUCUAUUUCGUUUUGCUGUUCUGGCAACACAGUUGAGGUUUAAAGAGUUUUUUUCUUUUUUUUUUUCUUUUUGGGUUGGCCAUCUUGCUCUCUGAGAUGUGCCCAUAUGCGUAUUAGGACGAAGGCAACACUGGAUGUGCGAUGACCAUCUGAUCGGCAUUUCUCUUUUUCCAUUAGAGCAAAAGAAUAGUUUAUUUUUUUGAGGGGUUAUAUGUGAACUGAUGACUGACGACCUGUGCUAUUUGCUAACUGGUUGCUACCAUGAAGGAUGAAGCAGAUUGCCAGAAGCUACGAGCUCCUGGGUGAGCAAUUGUUUGCCGCAUUUCUUACUUACGUUCCUGC